GAUCAAACUUCCAGUGACUCCAGAAAAGGACUGCAGCAUGACCAUCCUUUCCUGUUCAGCCAAACACCUUAGCUAGAAUUAUUCAAGUUUAAACCAAAAUUGCAGCGGUAACUGAAAUGCUUGCAGAAUACACGAACAACAGCGCCCUCUGCACCUGAAACCCCUCCAGUUAUUAAACCCAGACGUUCCUACGUGCUGGAGGAGCCUUUAAUUUCAAUUACUGCUUUUUUCAGCUGCUGCUUACACCUUCCCUAUGAAAAUGGUAUGAGAUGACAAGAAAAGGUUUCUGACCUCACCAUCCUCUACUUCCCCCACACUGCAUUUUGAAGGGAAAUUUAUAAAACUCCACCAGUGUAGCCUGGACACUGCUAUCCCAGGAAGGACUACAGGGAGAAAGAACUGGGAUCUUGGGCUCCUACUUUGAGGCUUGAUUACAGCAAUUUGGAGGAUGUAUGCAAACCGAUUCCAGCGACUAAUUGAAGGAACCCUACUAAUUAGAAAAGGCUAUGGAACAAAUAACAAUUGGUCCCUGAGACACAGUGUUAGUCUGCUGGGUUACUUUGUGAGUGUGCUGUGUCUCAGCAGAGAAGAGCAGCUUUGAAUAUGGAAAUGAAGGAGCUUUUCCUGAUAAAACCAGUUCGGAUGCAAGGGACAGCUGAGUGCUCUUGCCCCUGCCAGUAGGACCAUGGCCAGGGCUCAUCUCACUGCGGGGCGACCAUCUGCUGCCACUUAACAGCACAGGAAACCACCACUGAACAAAAGCAUCCACUCGUAGAGCAUCCCACCUCCUGCAACAAAAUGGAGGCAUAAAGGCAAUGCUACUUCAUCACAUACAAUUUACAGUGAAGAGAGGACAGCAAACAUUAUAUUCUAACCAGCAGAGCCAUAGGUAUUUCUGGUGUUAUAUUUGGCUAAAAUCUCACCACCAGUCUCAGCUUCUGGCAUGGAAGGAAAGAAAUCCAUUCCCAAGGGGCACAGAAAGGAUACAAACCUCAAGGCAAGACCCAACCCUUGCAGCCUUUGUGUGAGGUGAAGAAAAUGAAGGAAGUGAAUAAACUGCCCACCUGCUAAAACUGAUGCUGCAAACUGCCCCCAGGAGAACUGCCGAGGAAUCCAGCCUCAUUUUGCCUGGGGAAUGCAAGAUCUCCACUGGGGCUCCUCAAACUCUGCUCCCAUCUCUGCCCUUCUGCCCAGGAAAUACCAUUUAAUGCAUGUGUCCAGUUACUGCAACAAUUUUGAAGAAAGGAAGACGUCAAAGGCAAUGCAAGAAGGCAGGAUCUGGCAACAGCAGCUGUCAAGAUUCCAAACCCAAGAAAUGAAAAAACACCUACUGUCCAAAUUAUUGUUGGACUGGUAGAAACAGGAUAGUAGCCUUUGGUCUUCCUGUGAAUAAACUGGAACAGAACUCUGUAUUGACAGCUGAAUUUCUUUUUCAGCAACUCAACUUUCACAGUGAGUCAGGAGUACAAUUUUUCUAUUCUCUGCAUUUUAGUUUGGUCCCAGCUCUAUCUUCAUGAUGAGCACCA
Melospiza melodia melodia is the source of this 1526-nucleotide long non-coding RNA. RefSeq lists it as uncharacterized. The transcript has 8 exons. The record is from RefSeq and is a predicted model, not a curated record. Lineage: Eukaryota; Metazoa; Chordata; Aves; Passeriformes; Passerellidae.